This 106-nucleotide ribosomal RNA is filed under the name Pteropus alecto (black flying fox). Lineage: Eukaryota; Metazoa; Chordata; Mammalia; Chiroptera; Pteropodidae. The record is from RNAcentral.
GUCUAUGGCCAUGCCACCCUGAACAAGCCUGAUUCCGUUUGAUCAAGGUCAGGCCUGGUUAGUAUUUGGAUGGGAGACCACCUAGGAAGACCAAGUGCUGUAGGUA